GAUGAACGCUGGCGGCGUGCCUAAUACAUGCAAGUCGAGCGAACGGACGAGAAGCUUGCUUUUCUGAUGUUAGCGGCGGACGGGUGAGUAACACGUGGAUAACCUACCUAUAAGACUGGGAUAACUUCGGGAAACCGGAGCUAAUACCGGAUAAUAUUUUGAACCGCAUGGUUCAAAAGUGAAAGACGGUCUUGCUGUCACUUAUAGAUGGAUCCGCGCUGCAUUAGCUAGUUGGUAAGGUAACGGCUUACCAAGGCAACGAUGCAUAGCCGACCUGAGAGGGUGAUCGGCCACACUGGAACUGAGACACGGUCCAGACUCCUACGGGAGGCAGCAGUAGGGAAUCUUCCGCAAUGGGCGAAAGCCUGACGGAGCAACGCCCGUGAGUGAUGAAGGUCUUCGGAUCGUAAAACUCUGUUAUUAGGGAAGAACAUAUGUGUAAGUAACUGUGCACAUCUUGACGGUACCUAAUCAGAAAGCCACGGCUAACUACGUG
RNAcentral lists this ribosomal RNA (496 nucleotides) under uncultured bacterium. Its description in RNAcentral is "partial 16S ribosomal RNA". It matches the Rfam family "Bacterial small subunit ribosomal RNA", at positions 28 to 507 of the family's 1533-position model. The record is from RNAcentral.